RNAcentral lists this ribosomal RNA (912 nucleotides) under Cyphellophora pluriseptata. RNAcentral's name for it is "LSU rRNA". It matches the Rfam family "Eukaryotic large subunit ribosomal RNA", at positions 38 to 962 of the family's 3401-position model. Lineage: Eukaryota; Fungi; Ascomycota; Eurotiomycetes; Chaetothyriales; Cyphellophoraceae. The record is from RNAcentral.
GCAUAUCAAUAAGCGGAGGAAAAGAAACCAACAGGGAUUGCCUUAGUAACGGCGAGUGAAGCGGCAACAGCUCAAAUUUGAAAUCUGGCCCCUCCGGGGUCCGAGUUGUAAUUUGGAGAGGAUGUUUCGGGCACGGUCCGGGCUUAAAUUUCUUGGAACAGAAUGUCACAGAGGGUGAGAAUCCCGUCUGGAGCUCGGACACGGCCUGUGUGAAACUCCUUCGACGAGUCGAGUUGUUUGGGAAUGCAGCUCUAAAUGGGUGGUAAAUUUCAUCUAAAGCUAAAUAUUGGCCAGAGACCGAUAGCGCACAAGUAGAGUGAUCGAAAGAUGAAAAGCACUUUGAAAAGAGAGUUAAACAGUACGUGAAAUUGUUGAAAGGGAAGCGCUGGCAACCAGACUUGCGCGUCGGGGUUCCCCCUUGCUUCUGCCUGGGUUACUCCCCGGCGUUCAGGCCAACAUCGGUUUCGGGGGUUGGUUAAAGGCCCUGGGAAUGUACCUACCCUCCGGGGUAGACUUAUAGCCCAGGGUGUCAUGCGACCUCCCGGGACCGAGGAACGCGCUUCGGCUCGGAUGUUGGCGUAAUGGUUGUCAGCGACCCGUCUUGAAACACGGACCAAGGAGUCUAACAUCUAUGCGAGUGUUAGGGUGUCAAACCCUUACGCGGAAUGAAAGUGAACGGAGGUAGGAAGCCCCUCAAAAAGGCUGCACUAUCGACCGAUCCUGAAGUUUACGGAUGGAUUUGAGUAAGAGCAUAGCUGUUGGGACCCGAAAGAUGGUGAACUAUGCCUGAAUAGGGUGAAGCCAGAGGAAACUCUGGUGGAGGCUCGCAGCGGUUCUGACGUGCAAAUCGAUCGUCAAAUUUGGGUAUAGGGGCGAAAGACUAAUCGAACCAUCUGGUAGCUGGUUCCUGCG